GCCUGGGUGGCACAGUGGUUAAGCGUCUGCCUUCGGCUCAGGGCAUGAUCCUGGCAUUGUGGGUUCGAGCCCCACAUCAGGCU
Molecule: non-coding RNA, 83 nt
Organism: Ailuropoda melanoleuca (giant panda)
Lineage: Eukaryota; Metazoa; Chordata; Mammalia; Carnivora; Ursidae
Source: Rfam